GGCUUGGUAACUAAGUUGCUAGAGCGUCGCGUUUAUAAUGCGAAUGUUGUUGGUUCGAUCCUCAUUCAAGCCU
Molecule: transfer RNA, 73 nt
Filed under: Biomphalaria glabrata
Lineage: Eukaryota; Metazoa; Mollusca; Gastropoda; Planorbidae
Rfam family: tRNA
About the family: Transfer RNA (tRNA) molecules are approximately 80 nucleotides in length. Their secondary structure includes four short double-helical elements and three loops (D, anti-codon, and T loops). Further hydrogen bonds mediate the characteristic L-shaped molecular structure. tRNAs have two regions of fundamental functional importance: the anti-codon, which is responsible for specific mRNA codon recognition, and the 3' end, to which the tRNAs corresponding amino acid is attached (by aminoacyl-tRNA synthetases). tRNAs cope with the degeneracy of the genetic code in two manners: having more than one tRNA (with a specific anti-codon) for a particular amino acid; and 'wobble' base-pairing, i.e. permitting non-standard base-pairing at the 3rd anti-codon position.
Source: Rfam by way of RNAcentral